RNAcentral lists this ribosomal RNA (351 nucleotides) under Triticum aestivum (bread wheat). RNAcentral describes it as "partial small subunit ribosomal RNA". Lineage: Eukaryota; Viridiplantae; Streptophyta; Magnoliopsida; Poales; Poaceae. The record is from RNAcentral.
AUGGUUGUUCCUAAAUCAAAAGGUGACCUUGGUUUUAGGGAUAUGGAGAUUUUUAAUGAUGCAAUGCUUGCUAAAUAAGCCUGGAGUUUACUUGAGAAUCCAGAGAGUCUUUGUGCAAGAGUAUUGAAAGGGAGAUAUUACCCAGAUGGGGAUUUUCUCACCGUUGGGUGUCCACGGGGAGUGUCAAAGACAUGGCGGGUAAUUAUCAUUGGCAGAGAACUGCUCAAAACCGGAUUGAUACGCCGAGUUGGUGAUGGGAGAAGAACAAAAAACUGGGUCGCCGAGUUUGUGCACGUCGGACAAUUUGAUCAUGGGCACAAAGUCUAUGAGACCGAUGGGAAAAUUAAUUGA